Molecule: ribosomal RNA, 489 nt
Filed under: uncultured bacterium
Lineage: Bacteria
Description: partial 16S ribosomal RNA
Rfam family: Bacterial small subunit ribosomal RNA
Source: RNAcentral
AUUGAACGCUGGCGGCAGGCCUAACACAUGCAAGUCGAACGGUAACAGGAAGCAGCUUGCUGCUUUGCUGACGAGUGGCGGACGGGUGAGUAAUGUCUGGGAAACUGCCUGAUGGAGGGGGAUAACUACUGGAAACGGUAGCUAAUACCGCAUAACGUCGCAAGACCAAAGAGGGGGACCUUCGGGCCUCUUGCCAUCGGAUGUGCCCAGAUGGGAUUAGCUAGUAGGUGGGGUAACGGCUCACCUAGGCGACGAUCCCUAGCUGGUCUGAGAGGAUGACCAGCCACACUGGAACUGAGACACGGUCCAGACUCCUACGGGAGGCAGCAGUGGGGAAUAUUGCACAAUGGGCGCAAGACUGAUGCAGCCAUGCCGCGUGUAUGAAGAAGGCCUUCGGGUUGUAAAGUACUUUCAGCGGGGAGGAAGGGAGUAAAGUUAAUACCUUUGCUCAUUGACGUUACCCGCAGAAGAAGCACCGGCUAACUCCGU